RNAcentral lists this ribosomal RNA (339 nucleotides) under uncultured bacterium. Its description in RNAcentral is "bacterial SSU rRNA". It matches the Rfam family "Bacterial small subunit ribosomal RNA", at positions 29 to 348 of the family's 1533-position model. The record is from RNAcentral.
AGCGAACGUUAGCGGCGGGCCUAACACAUGCAAGUCGAACGAGAAUGAGGGGGCAACUCCUCUAGUAAAGUGGCGGACGGGUGCGUAACACGUAGGUAGUUUACCUUCCGGCGGGGGACGAACAGUCCGAAGGAACUGCUAAUACCGCAUACGUCGGCGAGGUCUCCGGACCUUGUCGGGAAAGGAUGGCCUCUCCUUGGAAGCUGUCACCGGAAGAUGAACCUGCGGCCCAUCAGCUAGUUGGUGAGGAACGGCUCACCAAGGCGAAGACGGGUAGCUGGUCUGAGAGGAUGAUCAGCCACACUGGGACUGCGACACGGCCCAGACUCCUACGGGAGG